GGCUAGUGUAAAGGUAAUGGAUUAUCUCAUUUGAUUGUUUCACAGUCAGUUACAGGUUGAACUCCUUGUUCUGCUCUUUCCUCCUCAUCUCACUACUGCAGUUGACUAAUUAAUA
This 115-nucleotide non-coding RNA is filed under the name Saimiri boliviensis boliviensis (Bolivian squirrel monkey). Lineage: Eukaryota; Metazoa; Chordata; Mammalia; Primates; Cebidae. The record is from RNAcentral.